GAAAGGCUACUACUAUAGUAGCUGGAAGUAGAGAUACUUCCCAAUUUGAG
Molecule: non-coding RNA, 50 nt
Filed under: Lachnospiraceae bacterium 2_1_46FAA
Lineage: Bacteria; Bacillati; Bacillota; Clostridia; Lachnospirales; Lachnospiraceae
Description: S4-Clostridia ribosomal protein leader
Rfam family: S4-Clostridia ribosomal protein leader
Source: RNAcentral